AAUCUUGGACAAUGGGGGCAACCCUGAUCCAGCCAUCCCGCGUGUCCGAUGAAGGCCUUCGGGUUGUAAAGCACUUUUGGCAGGGCAGUAAAGGCUCUGGCUACUACCUGGACCUUCUGACGGUACCUGCAGAAUAAGCGCGGGCUCACUCCGCUCCAGCACCCGCGGUAAUACGUAGGGUGCAAGCGUUAAUCGUAAUUAGUGGGCGUAAAGCGUGCGCAGGCGGUUCGGCAAGAAGGAUGUGAAAUCCCAGGGCUUAACCUUGGAACUGCAUUCUUAACUGCCGGGCUAGAGUAUGUCAGAGGGGGGUAGAAUUCCGCGUGUAGCAGUGAAAUGCGUAGAGAUGCGGAGGAAUACCGAUGGCGAAGGCAGCCCCCUGGGAUAAUACUGACGCUCAUGCACGAAAGCGUGGGGAGCAAA
Molecule: ribosomal RNA, 420 nt
Filed under: uncultured bacterium
Lineage: Bacteria
Description: partial 16S ribosomal RNA
Rfam family: Bacterial small subunit ribosomal RNA
Source: RNAcentral